GACGAACGCUGGCGGCGUGCCUAAUACAUGCAAGUCGAACGCUGAAGAGAGGAGCUUGCUCUUCUUGGGUGAGUUGCGAACGGGUGAGUAACGCGUAGGUAACCUGCCUUGUAGCGGGGGAUAACUAUUGGAAACGAUAGCUAAUACCGCAUAACAAUGUAUUACACAUUUCAUUUAUUUGAAAGGGGCAAUUGCUCCACUACAAGAUGGACCUUCGUUGUAUUAGCUAGUAGGUGAGGUAAUGGCUCACCUAGGCGACGAUACAUAGCCGACCUGAGAGGGCGAGUGGCCACACUGGGACGGAGACACGGCACAGUCGCAUAGGGGAGGCAGCAGGAGGGAAUCGUCGGGAAGGGGGGCAACACAGAGCGAGAAACGCCGAGGGAGGGAAGAAGGGUGUCGGAUCGUAAAGCUCGGUUGUAAGGCAAGAAAGGGUGUGAGAGUGGAAAGUUCACACUGUGACGGUAGCUGACCAGAAAGAGACGGCUAACUACGUG
This 497-nucleotide ribosomal RNA is filed under the name uncultured bacterium. Its description in RNAcentral is "partial 16S ribosomal RNA". It matches the Rfam family "Bacterial small subunit ribosomal RNA", at positions 28 to 507 of the family's 1533-position model. The record is from RNAcentral.